CGUUCUCAGGGCGGGGUGAGAUUCCCCACCGGCGGUGAUGUCACCGGUCCCAUGACCGGCGGCGAGCCCGCGAGCGCCCCGCAUUCGCGGCGGCCCGGAUGUGUCCGGGGCGACCACGAGCGGGGGUCAGCAGACCCGGUUGGAUCCCGGGGCCGACGGUCAUAGUCCGGAUGGAAGAGAAC
RNAcentral lists this non-coding RNA (182 nucleotides) under Dietzia aerolata. Its description in RNAcentral is "FMN riboswitch (RFN element)". It matches the Rfam family "FMN riboswitch aptamer (RFN element)". From Rfam's summary of the family: The RFN element is a highly conserved domain that is found frequently in the 5'-untranslated regions of prokaryotic mRNAs that encode for flavin mononucleotide (FMN) biosynthesis and transport proteins. Lineage: Bacteria; Bacillati; Actinomycetota; Actinomycetes; Mycobacteriales; Dietziaceae. The record is from RNAcentral.